UACGAAGGGGGCGAGCGUUGUUCGGAUUUACUGGGCGUAAAGGGCGCGUAGGCGGCCAGAUUAGUCAGGCGUGAAAGCCCUGGGCUCAACCUGGGGACUGCGCUUGAGACGGUAUGGCUUGAGGGUGGAAGAGGCUCGCGGAAUUCCCAGUGUAGAGGUGAAAUUCGUAGAUAUUGGGAAGAACACCGGUGGCGAAGGCGGCGAGCUGGUCCAUCACUGACGCUGAGGCGCGACAGCGUGGGGAGCAAACAGG
RNAcentral lists this ribosomal RNA (253 nucleotides) under uncultured bacterium. RNAcentral's name for it is "partial 16S ribosomal RNA". It matches the Rfam family "Bacterial small subunit ribosomal RNA", at positions 524 to 776 of the family's 1533-position model. The record is from RNAcentral.